This 425-nucleotide ribosomal RNA is filed under the name uncultured bacterium. Its description in RNAcentral is "bacterial SSU rRNA". It matches the Rfam family "Bacterial small subunit ribosomal RNA", at positions 354 to 796 of the family's 1533-position model. The record is from RNAcentral.
GUGGGGAAUAUUGGACAAUGGGCGCAAGCCUGAUCCAGCCAUGGCGCGUGAGUGAUGAAGGCCUUAGGGUUGUAAAGCUCUUUCACCGAUGAAGAUAAUGACGGUAGUCGGAGAAGAAGCCCCGGCUAACUUCGUGCCAGCAGCCGCGGUAAUACGAAGGGGGCUAGCGUUGUUCGGAUUUACUGGGCGUAAAGCGCACGUAGGCGGUUUGUUAAGUCAGGGGUGAAAUCCCGGAGCUCAACUCCGGAACUGCCUUUGAUACUGGCAAGCUAGAGUCCGGAAGAGGUAAGUGGAACUCCUAGUGUAGAGGUGGAAUUCGUAGAUAUUAGGAAGAACACCAGUGGCGAAGGCGGCUUACUGGUCCGGAACUGACGCUGAGGUGCGAAAGCGUGGGGAGCAAACAGGAUUAGAUACCCGGGUAGUCC